RNAcentral lists this ribosomal RNA (253 nucleotides) under uncultured bacterium. RNAcentral's name for it is "partial 16S ribosomal RNA". It matches the Rfam family "Bacterial small subunit ribosomal RNA", at positions 524 to 776 of the family's 1533-position model. The record is from RNAcentral.
UACGAAGGGGGCUAGCGUUGUUCGGAAUCACUGGGCGUAAAGGGUGCGCAGGCGGAUUUUUAAGUCAGGGGUGAAAUCCCGAGGCUCAACCUCGGGAGUGCCUUUGAUACUGGGGAUCUUGAGUACGGAAGAGGUGAGUGGAACUGCGAGUGUAGAGGUGAAAUUCGUAGAUAUUCGCAAGAACACCGGUGGCGAAGGCGGCUCACUGGUCCGGAACUGACGCUGAGGCACGAAAGCGUGGGGAGCAAACAGG